RNAcentral lists this non-coding RNA (29 nucleotides) under Mus musculus (house mouse). The record is from RNAcentral. Lineage: Eukaryota; Metazoa; Chordata; Mammalia; Rodentia; Muridae.
CACCAAGGUCCUUCUUGAUGGUGUUAUGC